Molecule: ribosomal RNA, 254 nt
Filed under: uncultured bacterium
Lineage: Bacteria
Description: partial 16S ribosomal RNA
Rfam family: Bacterial small subunit ribosomal RNA
Source: RNAcentral
UACGUAGGGUGCAAGCGUUGUCCGGAAUUAUUGGGCGUAAAGAGCUCGUAGGCGGUUUGUCGCGUCUGCUGUGAAAACGCGAGGCUCAACCUCGCGCCUGCAGUGGGGUACGGGCAGACUAGAGUGCGGUAGGGGAGAUUGGAAUUCCUGGUGUAGCGGUGGAAUGCGCAGAUAUCAGGAGGAACACCGAUAGCGAAGGCAGCUUACUGGGCUGUAACUGACGCUGAUGCACGAAAGUGUGGGGAUCAAACAGG